ACUCCUACGGGAGGCAGCAGUGGGGAAUAUUGCACAAUGGGCGCAAGCCUGAUGCAGCCAUGCCGCGUGUAUGAAGAAGGCCUUCGGGUUGUAAAGUACUUUCAGCAGUGAGGAAGGUGGGUAUGUUAAUAGCAUACUCAUUUGACGUUAGCUGCAGAAGAAGCACCGGCUAACUCCGUGCCAGCAGCCGCGGUAAUACGGAGAGUGCGAGCGUUAAUCGGAAUUACUGGGCGUAAAGCGCAUGCAGGUGGUUUGUUAAGUCAGAUGUGAAAGCCCGGGGCUCAACCUCGGAAUUGCAUUUGAAACUGGCAAACUAGAGUACUGUAGAGGGGGUAGAAUUUCAGGUGUAGCGGUGAAAUGCGUAGAGAUCUGAAGGAAUACCGGUGCGAAGGCGGCCCCCUGGACAGAUACUGACACUCAGAUGCGAAGCGUGGGGAGCAAACAGGAUUAGAUACCCUGGUA
Molecule: ribosomal RNA, 462 nt
Filed under: uncultured bacterium
Lineage: Bacteria
Description: bacterial SSU rRNA
Rfam family: Bacterial small subunit ribosomal RNA
Source: RNAcentral